AGAGCAGGGUGUGGUCUGGGAGGACAGGGAUGGUAGCGAGGGUGGCGGCUCACACGAAUCCAGGAGAGAAAACAGCAGCUGUUGCCGCGUCGAACCCGCAGCGCCCGAGGAGCUACCAGGUGCCGCGGGCGGGGCCUCCUUUUUAGCUGACUGGGACACGCAGCCUCGAAGGUCUGGUAGAGUCUCCCAGGGAGAGGGCCUGGAGGACGUAAUCCCAGCUGGCGUGUGGGAACGGGCAACGCCAUUUUGUACGGAAGCUACUGGGGCAGGUGAUGCCUACCCAGUCUCUCUCCUCUGUUGAACAAAGGAUCUGUUAAAAUUGGAAGGGCUUAACGUCUUCUUCAGAAAAGUGACGCAUUUGUUACUGGGAUGGUAAGGUUCAGCAAAGUCUAUGUCAUUCUCUAAUCCUUUUGAUCCAGCGGAUUCUUUGGAGGAAUUUGAAUACAUAUUGGAUUUUGCAUCCAGGUUUGCAAGAGGAAAAUACAAAGGUGACUUCUGGGCCUGCUGGAGGUGGAGGGUAGAGGAUGGACAGCUGACAUCUAGUCACAGAGGAAAGAACACAGAAAGAGAUCUCCAGUUAAAGCUGAUAGAUUGAACCACAGACAACCCACCUCCUUCUAAAAUCCCUCUAGAACAAUGGUUUAAAAAAAGUGCUUUAACAUAAAACUUCAAAAUCAAAAAGAUAAGGAAAAUGAUGAAAACCACUCAGAUAAGAAGAGAGGAUAUUUAUGCAGAGGCUGCUGUCGUUGGGAGUCCGCCACCAUACCACUAUACUUUGGUGAGACUUGAAGGCAGGCAGGGAGUGGAAACACUUUAUGCUGUAGUGAAAAAAGGGGAAGGCUUCGGUAUGCUCUGACUGGAGAUCAUUGUCAUGGGGAAACUGCAGGUGGGCUAACUAGAGGCUGGGCUUCUUGUGUAAUGGUUUGGCUUUCUCUGGUUGGUCCUGUGUUGAAAAUAGGGGCAAAAUAUAGGGAAGCUGACUCAUUGACCAAGCCCUGCCCAGGCUGGCCAAUUGCAGAGGUUGUGGGUCAGAGUUCUAUUGUCAUAUAUGGUCUGGCUACUGUCUGUUUAUAUAAUCCGUCUCUCAGAGAACAGUAGAGGAGAUCAAAUUAUUAACAUUUUGGAAGCUGGAAAGCAGGAGGAUAGUGUGAGCUGAAUUAGCAGACUUGCCAUCUAUCAAAGGGGAUAGCCAAAAGCAAGCCAGAUUUGCCCCAGAGAACCACCAAAGGUUCAAGAAUUGGCAGCACCAGGUACCCCCAGAAGCAGGGAUAAAGUGGGGGCUGAAAUUGGACAGUUGGUUCAAAGUCUAUUUCAGAAGCAUUAGACCACUGGAUUUCUUCCCCAGCUCCCAAAUGACUGCCUGGUGCAAAAGACUCAGGAUUGAUUCCCUGGAGAGGGUAGGUAGUUCUUUGUCUAGUUAAGGAUGGGAUGCCAUAACAAACAUGCCAAUUCAGUGAAAGUACCUACUUUCAAGACUCCUGCUUAACUCCCCUAAAUCAGCAGCCAAUGUUAGAAGCCAAGUGUUAAAGUUUUUCAGAUAAUUUUGCUAUAAGCCUAUGGAGAAAUUUCAUUACCAUCUCAUAGCAAGGCCUAUAGUAUAAGAGCAGGCCUAUAGUAGCAUAUGGGGGAAAGUCUAAAAGACUUUGAAAUGGACCAAAAGAUUAUUGAGAAAUGGAAAACUGCAUUGUUUUAAGUAUCCCUUUCCAACUUAUCAGAUUCUGUGGGGUUUAUACCUUUCAUUGUCUUUGAGGUAUUUAACAAUUCUAAAGAGAUAGACUCUAACUUGUAGAAAACUAAGAGUAACAUAAAUAAUUAUCGUCUUUAGAUAUACAAAUAAAUUCUGUUCUGAG
This 1850-nucleotide long non-coding RNA is filed under the name Homo sapiens (human). Its description in RNAcentral is "PREDICTED lncRNA (TCONS_00079718)". Lineage: Eukaryota; Metazoa; Chordata; Mammalia; Primates; Hominidae. The record is from RNAcentral.